This 377-nucleotide unclassified non-coding RNA is filed under the name uncultured Parachlamydiaceae bacterium. RNAcentral describes it as "contains 16S-23S intergenic spacer region". The record is from RNAcentral. Lineage: Bacteria; Pseudomonadati; Chlamydiota; Chlamydiia; Parachlamydiales; Parachlamydiaceae.
UCCUGGUUAACCCAGGCAGUCUCAUUAGAGUUCCCACCUUAAAUGUUGGCAACUAAUGAUAAGGGUUGCGCUCGUUGCGGGACUUAACCCAACACCUCACGGCACGAGCUGACGACAGCCAUGCAGCACCUGUGCAGAUGUCCCGAAGGAAAGCCCUAUUUCUAGAGCGGUCAUCUGCAUGUCAAGUCUGGGUAAGGUUUUUCGCGUUGCAUCGAAUUAAACCACAUGCUCCACUGCUUGUGCGGGUCCCCGUCAAUUCUUUUGAGUUUCACCCUUGCGAGUGUACUCCCCAGGCGGUAUACUUAACGCGUUAGCUACGGCACAGCCGGGGUUGAGUCCAGCUACACCAAGUAUACAUAGUUUACGGCAAGGACUAC